ACAGCAGCAGCCGCGGGAAUACGUAGGGCGCAAGCGUUAUCCGGAAUUAUUGGGCGUAAAGAGCUCGUAGGCGGUUGUUCGCGUCUGCCGUGAAAGUCCGGGGCUCAACCCCGGAUCUGCGGUGGGUACGGGCAGACUAGAGUGAUGUAGGGGAGACUGGAAUUCCUGGUGUAGCGGUGAAAUGCGCAGAUAUCAGGAGGAACACCGAUGGCGAAGGCAGGUCUCUGGGCAUUAACUGACGCUGAGGAGCGAAAGCAUGGGGAGCGAACAGGAUUAGAUACCCCCGUAGUCCCUGUCUCUUAUAA
Molecule: ribosomal RNA, 305 nt
Filed under: uncultured bacterium
Lineage: Bacteria
Description: partial 16S ribosomal RNA
Rfam family: Bacterial small subunit ribosomal RNA
Source: RNAcentral